GUGGGGAAUAUUGGACAAUGGGCGAAAGCCUGAUCCAGCCAUGCCGCGUGUGUGAAGAAGGUCUUCGGAUUGUAAAGCACUUUAAGUUGGGAGGAAGGGUAGUAACCUAAUACGUUGCUACUUUGACGUUACCGACAGAAUAAGCACCGGCUAACUUCGUGCCAGCAGCCGCGGUAAUACGAAGGGUGCAAGCGUUAAUCGGAAUUACUGGGCGUAAAGCGCGCGUAGGUGGUUUUGUAAGUUGGAGGUGAAAUCCCCGGGCUCAACCUGGGAACUGCAUCCAAAACUGCAUGACUAGAGUACGGUAGAGGGUAGUGGAAUUUCCUGUGUAGCGGUGAAAUGCGUAGAUAUAGGAAGGAACACCAGUGGCGAAGGCGACUACCUGGACUGAUACUGACACUGAGGUGCGAAAGCGUGGGGAGCAAACAGGAUUAGAUACCCUGGUAGUCC
RNAcentral lists this ribosomal RNA (450 nucleotides) under uncultured bacterium. RNAcentral's name for it is "partial 16S ribosomal RNA". It matches the Rfam family "Bacterial small subunit ribosomal RNA", at positions 354 to 796 of the family's 1533-position model. The record is from RNAcentral.